UGACAAAAACACGGCCCAUGUAAAACUGUUGAGGGGAUAUUGAUAUCUAAUAUAGUGUUGCCAUGGCAACAUAUCAAACUGGAAUAUUUUUCUGUAUAAUAUAUUCUGAUUUUGAGGCAGAUAACAUGCUUAGAAUUUCAUGAAACUCAGAACACAUAUCAGUAUUACUGAUAGCUAGACACUGGCAAAAGGUCAUAAAAGGGCGUGGAGGAGGCACUCUAUAGCGCCACCUUUUGUCAAAAGUGGGGGGCUUAGUUUUAGCUACAGACACCAAACUCGGUACAUAUAUUGUUCUUAUUAAGACGGACAACUUUCUAAUUUACAGUCAUUAGCUACGACCAACAGGAAGUCGGCUAUUUUGAUUUGAAUAUGGAUUUUUGGCUCUGUGUGAGGAAUGUAUGUGUGCUGAGACUUUCAUUGUCUGAGAGAAAAUGCGCCUCUACAGGAGCAAUUCCCGGGACUGAGAGGGAGGAGUCUCGCUUAGUUUCACUUUUAAAUCGGUUAAAAAUACAACUAAAUAAAUCAAUUUAAUUCACACUGACAAGCUAAACCAACAUAUCUUAUUAUUAGCGGGUCAGGGCUUAUUAAUAAUUGAUGUCUGGCGACAGAGAACAGAGAGAUAGACGAGAGAUAUGUCACCGUUCCGAACAGCGCGUGCUGUCUCAACGAGCUCACAACAAACGAGUUUAUUCUUGUUUAAGACCUUUUAAAAAUAAAAUAUUACGGCGAUUGCACACAAUCCGCCAAUUAGAACACACCAAGAGCUAAAUUCAGAUGUUUGUGAGCUGUUAACAUGUUAAAAUGAAAUAUUUGCUGCAGCCUGUCUGACAGCGCGAGACGUCUGAACACUUGAAGGGAAAAAAAUGUACAUACAGAAACUACAGCCUUUUACAUUAAAACACAGCGGCGAAUCAACAAAAAACAAUUAGAAGAACAUAUUAUAGAGAUGAAAA
This is a long non-coding RNA of Cyprinus carpio carpio, 953 nucleotides long. NCBI's taxonomy places the organism in Eukaryota, Metazoa, Chordata, Actinopteri, Cypriniformes, Cyprinidae. The record is from Ensembl.